This 1414-nucleotide ribosomal RNA is filed under the name Salmonella enterica subsp. enterica. RNAcentral's name for it is "bacterial SSU rRNA". It matches the Rfam family "Bacterial small subunit ribosomal RNA". Lineage: Bacteria; Pseudomonadati; Pseudomonadota; Gammaproteobacteria; Enterobacterales; Enterobacteriaceae. The record is from RNAcentral.
GGGUGAGUAAUGUCUGGGAAACUGCCUGAUGGAGGGGGAUAACUACUGGAAACGGUGGCUAAUACCGCAUAACGUCGCAAGACCAAAGAGGGGGACCUUCGGGCCUCUUGCCAUCAGAUGUGCCCAGAUGGGAUUAGCUAGUUGGUGAGGUAACGGCUCACCAAGGCGACGAUCCCUAGCUGGUCUGAGAGGAUGACCAGCCACACUGGAACUGAGACACGGUCCAGACUCCUACGGGAGGCAGCAGUGGGGAAUAUUGCACAAUGGGCGCAAGCCUGAUGCAGCCAUGCCGCGUGUAUGAAGAAGGCCUUCGGGUUGUAAAGUACUUUCAGCGGGGAGGAAGGUGUUGUGGUUAAUAACCACAGCAAUUGACGUUACCCGCAGAAGAAGCACCGGCUAACUCCGUGCCAGCAGCCGCGGUAAUACGGAGGGUGCAAGCGUUAAUCGGAAUUACUGGGCGUAAAGCGCACGCAGGCGGUCUGUCAAGUCGGAUGUGAAAUCCCCGGGCUCAACCUGGGAACUGCAUUCGAAACUGGCAGGCUUGAGUCUUGUAGAGGGGGGUAGAAUUCCAGGUGUAGCGGUGAAAUGCGUAGAGAUCUGGAGGAAUACCGGUGGCGAAGGCGGCCCCCUGGACAAAGACUGACGCUCAGGUGCGAAAGCGUGGGGAGCAAACAGGAUUAGAUACCCUGGUAGUCCACGCCGUAAACGAUGUCUACUUGGAGGUUGUGCCCUUGAGGCGUGGCUUCCGGAGCUAACGCGUUAAGUAGACCGCCUGGGGAGUACGGCCGCAAGGUUAAAACUCAAAUGAAUUGACGGGGGCCCGCACAAGCGGUGGAGCAUGUGGUUUAAUUCGAUGCAACGCGAAGAACCUUACCUGGUCUUGACAUCCACGGAAGUUUUCAGAGAUGAGAAUGUGCCUUCGGGAACCGUGAGACAGGUGCUGCAUGGCUGUCGUCAGCUCGUGUUGUGAAAUGUUGGGUUAAGUCCCGCAACGAGCGCAACCCUUAUCCUUUGUUGCCAGCGGUCCGGCCGGGAACUCAAAGGAGACUGCCAGUGAUAAACUGGAGGAAGGUGGGGAUGACGUCAAGUCAUCAUGGCCCUUACGACCAGGGCUACACACGUGCUACAAUGGCGCAUACAAAGAGAAGCGACCUCGCGAGAGCAAGCGGACCUCAUAAAGUGCGUCGUAGUCCGGAUUGGAGUCUGCAACUCGACUCCAUGAAGUCGGAAUCGCUAGUAAUCGUGGAUCAGAAUGCCACGGUGAAUACGUUCCCGGGCCUUGUACACACCGCCCGUCACACCAUGGGAGUGGGUUGCAAAAGAAGUAGGUAGCUUAACCUUCGGGAGGGCGCUUACCACUUUGUGAUUCAUGACUGGGGUGAAGUCGUAACAAGGUAACCGUAGGGGAACCUGC